The sequence is a ribosomal RNA, 437 nucleotides long. It matches the Rfam family "Bacterial small subunit ribosomal RNA", at positions 341 to 792 of the family's 1533-position model.
ACGGAAGGCAGCAGUGGGGAAUAUUGGGCAAUGGGGGCAACCCUGACCCAGCAACGCCGCGUGAAGGAAGAAGGCUUUCGGGUUGUAAACUUCUUUUACCAGGGACGAAGGACGUGACGGUACCUGGAGAAAAAGCCACGGCUAACUACGUGCCAGCAGCCGCGGUAAUACGUAGGUGGCAAGCGUUGUCCGGAUUUACUGGGUGUAAAGGGUGCGCAGGCGGGACUGCAAGUUGGAUGUGAAAUACCGAGGCUCAACCUCGGAGCUGCAUCCAAAACUGUAGUUCUUGAGUGGAGUAGAGGUAAGCGGAAUUCCGAGUGUAGCGGUGAAAUGCGUAGAUAUUCGGAGGAACACCAGUGGCGAAGGCGGCUUACUGGGCUCUAACUGACGCUGAGGCACGAAAGUGUGGGUAGCAAACAGGAUUAGAUACCCUGGUA